Non-coding RNA from Manis javanica (Malayan pangolin), 3013 nucleotides. Lineage: Eukaryota; Metazoa; Chordata; Mammalia; Pholidota; Manidae. The record is from RefSeq and is a predicted model, not a curated record.
CGGGGACUGGACGCGAGCGCGGAAGGAAGUGGAGCCCCACGUGCUGACCAGGACCGGGCGGCCGGCGCUCGCAGCGCUGCGCCUUGAGCAAGUCUCAGCCACCCAGGACCCUGGCGCGAGAAAAGGAAGAAAUACUCCACCCGCCACCACCAUUCCACCCUGAGAUGGGACUGCAAGCCCAGGCGGCUGCGGGAGGUGAAGAUACCCUGCUAACCAGAGGGCUGGUGGCCGCUGAGGAAAGCUCAUCCUCCUGAGGAACGUGACAGGGCUGGAAAAAUCCCAGCAAGGCCCAAAUUCCCUCGAGUCAGAUAAGGGCGCGCAGGACGUGCAGACUUGCACCUGGGCCUCUGGAGGCGGGGCUGGGGCCAGAGCCAGUGGGAGGAAGCGGCUGUUAAGUGAGAGGGACAAGACACGCUGACCGCCCCCUCUGCUCCUCGCCCCUUCCUCCCCUUUCUCACACCCCCCACAGGAGCCGUUAUUGUAGCCACGUACUCCGAGAUUCUAACUUUGUGAGGUAGGGAAAUGGGCGCACAGCCAAGCCAGUAGGAAAGAAGGAGAGCCACUAGCCGGAAUCACCGGCCAUCUCUUACCACCCUUCCCGCCUACAGGGUCCUCCAGGCUACCUGCCUCCCAGCCCUAUCCUGGACGGCGCCUCCCCCCAUUCCUCCUUCCCAGAUGUACAGAGGGAAAUAGACAGUUGGGCCUGGCAGGAACUGCUUUAUGCAAGUCCACAGGAAGUGUGGAACCAAACCCCCGCAGGCAGUGCCAGACCUCACCCCAAACUCCCUGCGUAGGCCUGGACCGUCAGGUGACUUCCUCCCUCCAAAGUGAGAGGGUGGGGAGGUGAAGGGAGGGAACCUCUGCCAGAUCUCGCCCUGAAUUUGGAGAAUGUGGGGCCAGAUUCCAAACAGUCUCCCUGGUGACUCUGGGCAGGAAUGCAUCUGGAACAGGAAGCCGGGUCAACAGGAAUGCGGUGUCUCAGCACCAGGCUUUGUGUGGGCUCAAAAAAACGCCCCCGACACACCUCUCCAGGCGGUGCCCUCCCAUGCAGAUACGCUGGAGGCCCCCUCAUGGCGGACCACACAUUUGCCUCCUAUCUGCCUUCUGCUGCUGUGACUGUGGCAGCCCCUUGCCCAGACCUAGGUCAGGCCUUCCCACAGCAGAGGGCUCUAUGGCCCCACAUGACCAGCUUGGCGGUCUCUCCUGCACCAGGCCUACUAUCCGAGGAGAUCCCUGCCCCUUGAGUGAUGUCUGAAGAAAUGAAAGGGGAGGACAGCCACCCCCCACCCACCAGGGGGGCAAGCAGCUACCUUGAGUUCCCAAGGCACAUGGUAGCCAAGCAGAGCCAUCCUUCAAGUUGAGACCAGGGAUGCCCAGAGGCCCCUUAACCUCUUAGGGAAGUGCCAGCUUCAGGAAGCACAUUUCCUGCAAGCACAGCCCUGAGCUGGCUCUGUGGGAAGAAGGGCAAAGCCAAGAACCUGGGGGCAGCUCCUGCCAGACUAGAGAUGGCUGGGAACCAUGGUGACCUCCCUUACGGCCUGGAAGGCUGGUGAUGGAGGGGCAAGAGCACCCCAGGGCCAGUCAGGAACCAGUUUCCAUCCCCAGCCCCCUCCCAUUACCAGCCAACUUGUCCCUGGACCACUAACAUCUCCAUGUCCUCAGUUUCUUCAUCUGUAGAACAAAGAUGACAACAGGACCCACCUCAGAAUUGUGAGGAUUGGAGCUACUGCACUUAGCCAUCCCUUGCACCAUAGAAUUAUCUAGCUGUGGAACUUUGGGGAAGCCACUUUCUCAUGCCUAAAUGAAGGGAGCUGUGUUAGAUGCUCUCCUGGGCCUCAUCUAACUCAAAUCUGUAAUCAUCUCUGAAGUUAUUCACCCAAAUUCAGGAAAAAAUAACGAGGGCACUGCCCUGGACAGAUUGCAACGGUUUAAUCGGGCACCUCUCCCCCACCCCCUCUGUGUCUGGGUCACAUAGGGUGGGUGCUCCCAGCUGCCUUGUUGUGGGGUUGAGGGCAGGGAUAAGUCAGAAGCUGUCUCCAACCUUCUCUGCUGACUGACGGGUUUGGCUAACAGCUCCAUCUCCCAAGGAAGUACGUUCACAAGCUCAGGUUAGCUGUAUGGCAGCAGAGCGCUCUGGAACUGAAACCCUCUGGGCCCCUGGGAGGACAGCAGGCUGCCACAGCUAAAGACGUGGAUUUAGCUUAUACCGUGCAGCCGUGGAAAGGCGGUCAGCAACUCAUUGGCAUCCCGAUUCCCCAAGCGUCCCUGCUCCCCAUUUGCUCUCCUCCAUGCCUUAGGAAGCCACUGGCCCAGCAUGGUUUGUUACAGGCAGAGAAUCAGACCAUGUUACUGUUCCAACCCACCUUUCCAACUUUUUCCAGCCUGUCACUUAGGUGCUUCAAAUUUUCAGAGAGCCCAGAGCCUCAAGGUGAACUUCAAACUGUUUCUCCUGGCAUGCAAGGCUCCUAUAUCCCCUCUCCAGUCUUAUUUUGGUAUCCCUUUCAGCCACUGCCCUAAACUGAGCAAUCCUCUUGCACUCACUACCCAUCACUCAGCUUUUCUCUACUGCACCUGUCAAGUCCUGUUCAUCUUUUCACAUAGACUGUCCCUGUUCUGACCUCACAGGGCACCCCUGUGUUCCACAUUAGCUCUUAGCACUCAUUACCACAAGCAUUAGUUUGUUCGUGCUGGCUCAAUCAGUGCCACGUGACAAUUAGCUUCAGAAAAGCAAGCAAAAUGCUGUAUCUUUCUGUGUUCCCCCUGUGCCAGAACCAGUUUUUAGAAGGGCGAUGUCCCUUUUGUGAGCAUUCUCUGCUGCCAUGAGCGAUACCUGACACUAGGUGGCGCCGGGAAGGCGAUCCCGUUUGGACCAGUUCUGGCCUCAUGAAGAAAGCCUGAUGCACAGAAAGCUUUAAUCUUUUCUAUGAAAAUAAAGGCAACCAUUCAGGCAAAAGGCUCCCAGGAACCUCAGAAGUACCCGGUUCAUUGCAGUAAAACAUCUCUACAAAAGCAC